This 226-nucleotide ribosomal RNA is filed under the name uncultured bacterium. RNAcentral describes it as "partial 16S ribosomal RNA". It matches the Rfam family "Bacterial small subunit ribosomal RNA", at positions 28 to 258 of the family's 1533-position model. The record is from RNAcentral.
GACGAACGCUGGCGGCGUGCUUAACACAUGCAAGUCGAGCGGUAAGGCCCUUCGGGGUACACGAGCGGCGAACGGGUGAGUAACACGUGGGUGACCUGCCCUCAGCUCUGGGAUAAGCCUGGGAAACCGGGUCUAAUACUGGAUAUGACUCCAUGACGCAUGUUGUGGGGUGAAAGCCUUGUGCGGCUGAGGAUGGGCCCGCGGCCUAUCAGCUUGUUGGUGGGGU